UUCAGGUUGGUCUGUAUCCUGUCAAUAGAGCCAAUGAACAAGAAGGAGGACGCGCAUUUUGGGCUGCACCUUUACUGCCAUGGCGCCCUGCUGUGCAUAGGUGGAGUAGGCCUGUAAUAUUGGUUUAGGACUGAUAGAUGCGGAUUAGCUGUAGGAGUUGUGGAAACAGACUUUAAAAAAGCCCAAACUGUGGAUGUGACGUUAACAACCAAACCGCUGCUGAUGAAAACGGGCCACAGUACAGAAAUGAACUGACAUUUGUAGACAAGCAAAUGAAGAAAGCCUCACUAAAGCACCACGAUGAUCAAGUCGAGGCAUAAAAACGUUGAAGCAAGUUUCAAAACGCCCCGGGGCUGAAACGGAUACUAAUGAAUUCACCUGUGUACGCGCAUAGUUAUUUGCGCUCCUUUCCAGAUUGGCACGGUCUAAAGGGGAAUGUUGUCAUCCUGGACAUCCCGUCUUUCCAGUGCCAUGGAACUGAACGUCGCCAUGUCAUAGAGGAAGAAAGUAAAGAGCCCUAGUCUUAAGAGAAAACGUGGCCGAUUGGUGCUGCUGAAGCUGUUUCAACCUGAGACGGGGCCGUGAAAUUGGAGAGCCAGGCAGGCAUUAACCUGACUGGAUGAAAUGGGACAGCAGGCUUGCCUUUGGGAGAACAAUUCGUUUGGUUGUUAGCUUCGAGAUCCUAUCUG
Molecule: long non-coding RNA, 689 nt
Organism: Monopterus albus (swamp eel)
Lineage: Eukaryota; Metazoa; Chordata; Actinopteri; Synbranchiformes; Synbranchidae
Exons: 3
Source: RefSeq, a predicted model, not a curated record